GUCACUGCUAUUGGGAUCCGAUUAAGCCAUGCGAGUCGAGAGGGUUCGGCCCUCGGCAGACGGCUCAGUAACACGUGGAUAAUCUACCCUUAGGUGGAGGAUACUCUCGGGAAACUGAGAAUAAUACUCCAUAGAUCUAGGAGGCUGGAAUGCACCUAGAUUGAAAGCUCCGGCGCCUAAGGAUGAGUCUGCGGACUAUCAGGUAGUAGUCAGGGUAAUGACCUGACUAGCCUACGACGGAUACGGGUUGUGAGAGCAAUCGCCCGGAGACGAUAUCUGAGACACGAUAUCGGGCCCUACGGGGCGCAGCAGGCGCGAAACCUUCACAAUGUGCGAAAGCACGAUGAGGGGAUCCCAAGUGCUGGCUCGUAAGAGUCAGCUGUUUCUCUGUCUAAAAAACAGAGAGAGUAAGGGCUGGGUAAGACGGGUGCCAGCCGCCGCGGUAAUACCUGCAGCUCAAGUGGUGGCCGCUAUUAUUGGGCCUAAAACGUCCGUAGCCGGCCUAAUAAAUGCCUGGGUAAAUUGUAUAGCUUAACUAUACGAAUUCCGGGUAGACUGUUAGGCUUGGGACCGGGAGAAGCUAGAGGUACUCCUGGGGUAGAGGUGAAAUUCUGUAAUCCUAGGGGGACCACCGGUGGCGAAGGCGUCUAGCCAGAACGGGUCUGACGGUGAGGGACGAAGCCCUGGGGCGCAAACCGGAUUAGAUACCCGGGUAGUCCAGGGUGUAAACGCUGCUUGCUUGAUGUUAGUUGGGCUCCGUGCCCAACUAGUGUCGGAGAGAAGUUGUUAAGCAAGCUGCCUGGGAAGUACGGUCGCAAGACUGAAACUUAAAGGAAUUGGCGGGGGAGC
RNAcentral lists this ribosomal RNA (849 nucleotides) under uncultured archaeon. Its description in RNAcentral is "bacterial SSU rRNA". It matches the Rfam family "Archaeal small subunit ribosomal RNA", at positions 23 to 877 of the family's 1478-position model. The record is from RNAcentral.